Molecule: long non-coding RNA, 224 nt
Filed under: Malus domestica (apple)
Lineage: Eukaryota; Viridiplantae; Streptophyta; Magnoliopsida; Rosales; Rosaceae
Description: long non-coding RNA (MDOM_LNC012626)
Source: RNAcentral
AGUCUUUGCUCUUUCAUACAUAUCCUUUAUAGCUUGGAUAUAUGCUACUCGUACUCCUUUCUUCUCUAAAAUCCUCCAAAGAAUGUCUCUUAGGACCCUAUCAUACGCUUUUUCCAAAUCUAUAAAGACCAUGUGUAAAUCCUUUUUCCCAUCUCUAUAUCUUUCCAUCAAUCUUCGUAAGAGAUAGAUUGCCUCCAUGGUUGAGCGCCCUGGCAUGAACCCGA